UUCCGGUUGAUCCCGCCGGACCCAACCGCUAUCGGGGUGAGGCUAAGCCAUGGAAGUCGCACGCCCCGGUUACCGAGGCGUGGCGGACGGCUGAGUAACACGUGGCUAACCUAACCUCGGGACGGGGACAACCCCGGGAAACUGGGGCUGAUCCCCGAUAGGUGAGGAGGCCUGGAAGGGUUCCUCACCUAAAGGGUGGUGUGGGGAUGUCCGCAUCACCGCCCGAGGAUGGGGCCACGGCCCAUCAGGUAGUUGGCGGGGUAACGGCCCGCCAAGCCGAUAACGGGUAGGGGCCGUGAGAGCGGGAGCCCCCAGAUGGGCCCUGAGACAAGGGCCCAGGCCCUACGGGGCGCACCAGGCGCGAAAACUCCGCAAUGCGGGCAACCGUGACGGGGUCACCCCGAGUGCCCCGAAGAGGGGCUUUUCCCCUCCGUAAGAUGGAGGGGGAAUAAGCGGGGGGCAAGUCUGGUGUCAGCCGCCGCGGUAAUACCAGC
Molecule: ribosomal RNA, 494 nt
Filed under: uncultured crenarchaeote
Lineage: Archaea; Thermoproteati; Thermoproteota
Description: bacterial SSU rRNA
Rfam family: Archaeal small subunit ribosomal RNA
Source: RNAcentral